This 985-nucleotide ribosomal RNA is filed under the name Leyella stercorea DSM 18206. RNAcentral describes it as "bacterial SSU rRNA". It matches the Rfam family "Bacterial small subunit ribosomal RNA", at positions 8 to 988 of the family's 1533-position model. The record is from RNAcentral. Lineage: Bacteria; Pseudomonadati; Bacteroidota; Bacteroidia; Bacteroidales; Prevotellaceae.
AGAGUUUGAUCCUGGCUCAGGAUGAACGCUAGCUACAGGCUUAACACAUGCAAGUCGAGGGGCAGCAUGUCGGUUGCUUGCAACCGAUGAUGGCGACCGGCGCACGGGUGAGUAACGCGUAUCCAACCUACCCUUGUCCAUCGGAUAACCCGUCGAAAGGCGGCCUAACACGAUAUGCGGUUCACAGCAGGCAUCUAACGUGAACGAAAUGUGAAGGAGAAGGAUGGGGAUGCGUCUGAUUAGCUUGUUGGCGGGGUAACGGCCCACCAAGGCUACGAUCAGUAGGGGUUCUGAGAGGAAGGUCCCCCACAUUGGAACUGAGACACGGUCCAAACUCCUACGGGAGGCAGCAGUGAGGAAUAUUGGUCAAUGGACGAGAGUCUGAACCAGCCAAGUAGCGUGCAGGAUGACGGCCCUAUGGGUUGUAAACUGCUUUUAUAGGGGGAUAAAGUGUGCCACGUGUGGCAUAUUGCAGGUACCCUAUGAAUAAGGACCGGCUAAUUCCGUGCCAGCAGCCGCGGUAAUACGGAAGGUCCGGGCGUUAUCCGGAUUUAUUGGGUUUAAAGGGAGCGUAGGCCGUUUGGUAAGCGUGUUGUGAAAUGUCGGGGCUCAACCUGGGCAUUGCAGCGCGAACUGCCAGACUUGAGUGCGCAGGAAGUAGGCGGAAUUCGUCGUGUAGCGGUGAAAUGCUUAGAUAUGACGAAGAACUCCGAUUGCGAAGGCAGCCUGCUGUAGCGCAACUGACGCUGAAGCUCGAAAGCGUGGGUAUCGAACAGGAUUAGAUACCCUGGUAGUCCACGCGGUAAACGAUGGAUGCUCGCUGUUUGCGUCUGACGUAAGCGGCCAAGCGAAAGCGUUAAGCAUCCCACCUGGGGAGUACGCCGGCAACGGUGAAACUCAAAGGAAUUGACGGGGGCCCGCACAAGCGGAGGAACAUGUGGUUUAAUUCGAUGAUACGCGAGGAACCUUACCCGGGCUUGAACUG